GCUUGGGCCUGAGGGAGGGCCGGAGAACAUGUGUCGGGGUUGGCCCGACGUCUACGUCUCUGGCAUUUUUUGCAGACCAGCUGUGCUGAGUUGACUCCUGAGUGUGGACCUGGAAACUGUCCCUUGACACCACUGGAGGCCCUAUGGCCAGUUGGCUCCAGGUUGUCUCAAGAGCCCAGCGUUUUGCUGCAUUGCUAAGAUGGAGUGGGCACAGCUUCUGUCCCAGCAGGAUCCUAACAGUUCUGUUUAAAAAGGAGCUUCCCAUUGGCGAUGACGAUGGAGGUAAACCUCUUGAUGUCUUCUGGAACUAUUCGUGCAGCGGCGACAAACCUCUCCAGGUCAUCCAGGCUGUUUUGGGCUUUGUCUGUUACAAGAACUUCCAGGGACCAAUUGCAGCGGUCCAAGCUUCCCUUGGCAUCCAGCAGUGUCUGAUUCCUCUACGUGGUCAGCGGCCCUGCGGAUUCUGUGGAUGUUGGUUUCCAAGGAGUCUUUGAACCUCCAAGUCCUGCUUACAAAGAGCAGCAGGCCCGCUGCCGAGCUGGCCACUUUGUGUUGCAGAGACACUGCUGCCUCCUUUGCAAAGUCCACGUCCAUCCAUAGCUCCUUGAUGGAGUCCUCUGAGGAGGAGCCAGAGGA
Mus caroli (Ryukyu mouse) is the source of this 636-nucleotide long non-coding RNA. RefSeq lists it as uncharacterized. The record is from RefSeq and is a predicted model, not a curated record. Lineage: Eukaryota; Metazoa; Chordata; Mammalia; Rodentia; Muridae.